CACACACACACACACACACACACAGAAAUGCUAUGAAACCCUCAUCCCACCAUUAAAUUUUUUUUUUUUUUUUAGAUUUUAUUUACUUAUUCAUGAGAGACAGAAAGAGAGAGGCCGAGACACAGGCAGAGGGAGAAGCAGGCUCCAUGCAAGGAGCCUGAUGCGGGACUCAAACCCGGGAACCCGGGAUUGCCCUGGACCAAAGGCAGGCACUCAAGCACUGAGCCACUCAGGCAUCCCCCACCAUUAAUUAUCUAUGGAGUUUUGAUCAAGGCACCUCAGCCUUCCUUGGCCUCAAGGUCACAAGUUCGUGGUGGAGCUGAGAUGAACAUCCACGAUUUUUGUCUCACACUCUGUAUUCUGCUGCUUGGGACAAGAACAGUGAAGACCAAGAAGCUGGCCUCAACUACAAGUACUUCUGUGCCUUGGAUGAUGACUUACCGCUUUUCAGGUGGCUUCUUACUUAAAUGCCAUGGAAAGGGGAGCAACCCAGCCGGGGCAAGCAGGAGAGAUGUCACAGGUACAGCGCAGCCUCUGGGGAGACUGGAACCUGAUUUGGUUGGACUCCUACAGUCUUGUCCUACUUUCGUGUUUUUCCUCUUUUUUUUUUUUUUUUUUGGUUGCAAAAAUGCAAAGCAUUCACACUUCUUUGCUUUCUCUCCAUGUCUUUGUUUUCCUAAAGAUCUAUAUAGUUUUCUCUGAAUUCACUAACUACACAUUUAUAUUCUAGUAAUUCUGAUACGUUUCUCUCUAAUCUGAAUUUCCUCUCCAAUCAGUCUACCUGUGCAACAUCUAACUUACAUGUCUUCCUGAUUUGAUGCCAUUUAGGACAUAUUUUUUGAUUAGUCCUUUUUUCUUAUUUUAUAAUGCAUUUUAUAAUAUAACGCUAGAAAGGAUGGUAUGACAGUGCAGGUCUUUCAUUGUAUUCUUAUAAAAGUGACAUCUUCUUUAUCAGGUGUAAUUGCUAAACUUAGAAGCAGUAUUUAUUGACCAUCAUCAUUUACUUUUUUCUGCUUCUUGCCCCAAUUUAAAAAUACGUUGCUAUCUUCCACUUCGAUCUUCUCUACUCCAACACACGUACUGUUUUCUGGCAUUUUUUUUAUAGCAUGUUUUGUAUGUGUUAGUGUGUGUAUGCUGAAUUUUGUCAAAUGCAUUUCCUGCAUCAACUAAUGACAUCAGGUGACUUUUCACCUUAGUUUGUUGACAUGAUGAUGGAUUGCAUCAUUUGAUUUCAAAUGUUGAACCAGCCUUGCAUCCCUGGAAUAACUCCAACUUGGUCAUGGUGUAUAAUUCCUUUUACACACUGGUAGAUUCAAUUGCUAAUAUUUUUUGAUUUUUUUUUUUGCAUCUAAAUUCAUGAGAGACAUUGGUUUGUAGUUUUAUUUUGUUUUGUUUUAAUGCUUUUUCAGUCUGAUUUUGAAUACUGGCUUCAUGAAAUGAGUUGGGAAAUGCGGUUUCCUCUGCUGUUUUCUGAAAUAGAGUGUAAUUUAAAAAAAUCAGUUUAUUUAAACAAAAAGAAUAUAUCAUUCAUUUCUUCUAUCCCUCCAACCUGCACCCCCCACCCCCACCCCUCCUCUGGCAACCACCAACACCUGUUUUCUGGAUCUA
Molecule: long non-coding RNA, 1608 nt
Organism: Vulpes vulpes (red fox)
Lineage: Eukaryota; Metazoa; Chordata; Mammalia; Carnivora; Canidae
Source: Ensembl